RNAcentral lists this ribosomal RNA (475 nucleotides) under uncultured bacterium. Its description in RNAcentral is "bacterial SSU rRNA". It matches the Rfam family "Bacterial small subunit ribosomal RNA", at positions 8 to 480 of the family's 1533-position model. The record is from RNAcentral.
AGAGUUUGAUCCUGGCUCAGGAUGAACGCUAGCGGCAGGCCUAAUACAUGCAACUCGAACGGGAUUCGGGGCUUCGGUCCCGAUGAGAGUGGCGCACGGGUGCGUAACGCGUGAGCAACCUGCCCAUAUCAGGGGGAUAGCCCGAAGAAAUUCGGAUUAACACCGCAUGAGAUUAUAAGAUGGCAUCAUCAAGUAAUUAAAUAUUUAUAGGAUAUGGAUGGGCUCGCGUGGCAUUAGCUAGUUGGUUGGGUAACGGCCGACCAAGGCGACGAUGCCUAGGGGCUCUGAGAGGAGAAACCCCCACACUGGUACUGAGACACGGACCAGACUCCUACGGGAGGCAGCAGUAAGGAAUAUUGGUCAAUGGGCGGGAGCCUGAACCAGCCAUGCCGCGUGCAGGAGGACGGCCCUACGGGUUGUAAACUGCUUUUGCCAGGGGACAAACCCCCGCUCGCGAGCGGGGCUGAGGGUACCU